CAUAACCAUCCGCGAACUCAUUUCGUACGGCAGGAGCGGGGGACCCAGGUAAGUCGCCGGACCGGUCGGCCCACGUCGCACCGGAACGGCUUGGGGUGAAGCCUCGCCUUCUCCGGAAGGCGCGGCCGGGCACCUCCCCGCCCGAACCCGACAGCUCACCUCGCAGGCGGCGGAGAGGAACU
RNAcentral lists this small RNA (182 nucleotides) under Streptomyces sp. RNAcentral describes it as "c-di-AMP sequence". It matches the Rfam family "c-di-AMP riboswitch aptamer (ydaO/yuaA leader)". Rfam says of the family: This family represents a conserved RNA structure found upstream of the ydaO and yuaA genes in Bacillus subtilis and related genes in other bacteria. The ydaO/yuaA element is thought to act as a genetic "off" switch for the ydaO and yuaA genes in its native state. Lineage: Bacteria; Bacillati; Actinomycetota; Actinomycetes; Kitasatosporales; Streptomycetaceae. The record is from RNAcentral.